Molecule: long non-coding RNA, 599 nt
Organism: Rhineura floridana
Lineage: Eukaryota; Metazoa; Chordata; Lepidosauria; Squamata; Rhineuridae
Exons: 3
Source: RefSeq, a predicted model, not a curated record
GUUCCUAGCAAAGGACGGCACACCAGAUCAUUGUGCUGAAAAUCUUCCAAAGUCUUCUGAUAACAGCCAAAAGCUUCAGUUAUUUUGAACAAGCUUUCAAUGAGAGGCAUCAUGCCCUGGCGACCUUCACAAACAGAAAUAGAAGUCACCUUCAACACUGAGGAUGCUUGAAAACAAUGGACCUCAUCUAGCCCUGAGCAAGAUAUUCUAUCUUUCUACAUCACAGUGAGUACAGGUUUCUGAGGUCUGAACUAAUGUCAGCAACAGCACCAACACCCCUGCAAAACCUAUAAGCAGAAGACCAGCCAAAAUGCAAAGUUCUUCAUGCAAAAAGACAUUCCUCAUCAUACUCUGAUCUAUGACAUCAUCGGAAAGCCUAUUCCAAGUGAAGGAAAUGCAUCCUGCCCUCACUCUGAUUUGAGUACAAGACACUAUCAUGAUCUGACCAGCUGUGGAAUAAUAUAACAUCAUCAAGUUGCCAAUAUGAUCCUUGAUUUGCUGGGAUAACCUCAGGAAGAAAUUUUUGUUUUGUUUUUUAAUGGUGUGGCAGCCAAAGAUUGGUGAAAGAAGUGUCACAAGUGACUAGUAGCUCAAGAAUA